RNAcentral lists this ribosomal RNA (765 nucleotides) under uncultured bacterium. RNAcentral's name for it is "bacterial SSU rRNA". It matches the Rfam family "Bacterial small subunit ribosomal RNA", at positions 64 to 808 of the family's 1533-position model. The record is from RNAcentral.
GAACGCGAAAAUCCCGCAAGGGAUCAGUAGAGUGGCAAACGGGUGAGUAACGCGUGGGCGACCUACCUUCGAGUGGGGGAUAACCUUCCGAAAGGAGGGCUAAUACCGCAUGACAUCCUGCUUUUGGAUAAGUGGAAAUCAAAGCUGGGGAUCGCAAGACCUGGCGCUUGAAGAGGGGCCCGCGUCCGAUUAGCUAGUUGGUGAGGUAACGGCUCACCAAGGCUCCGAUCGGUAUCCGGCCUGAGAGGGCGGACGGACACACUGGGACUGAGACACGGCCCAGACUCCUACGGGAGGCAGCAGUGGGGAAUUGUUCGCAAUGGGCGCAAGCCUGACGACGCAACGCCGCGUGGAGGAUGAAGACCUUCGGGUCGUAAACUCCUUUCGACCAAGAUGAACACCUCUAGAUUUAAAAGAUUGAGAGACUGACAGUAUUGGGAGAAGAAGCCCCGGCUAACUCCGUGCCAGCAGCCGCGGUAAUACGGGGGGGGCAAGCGUUGUUCGGAAUUACUGGGCGUAAAGGGUUCGUAGGUGGCCAACUAAGUCAGACGUGAAAUCCCUCAGCUUAACUGGGGAACUGCGUCUGAUACUGGUUGGCUUGAGUGCAGGAGAGGAAUGCGGAAUUCCAGGUGUAGCGGUGAAAUGCGUAGAUAUCUGGAGGAACACCGGUGGCGAAGGCGGCAUUCUGGACUGCAACUGACACUGAAGAACGAAAGCCAGGGGAGCAAACGGGAUUAGAUACCCCGGUAGUCCUGGCCCUAAACG